This 429-nucleotide ribosomal RNA is filed under the name Bacillota bacterium. RNAcentral describes it as "Firmicutes bacterium partial 16S ribosomal RNA". It matches the Rfam family "Bacterial small subunit ribosomal RNA", at positions 355 to 776 of the family's 1533-position model. Lineage: Bacteria; Bacillati; Bacillota. The record is from RNAcentral.
UAGGGAAUCUUCGGCAAUGGACGGAAGUCUGACCGAGCAACGCCGCGUGAGUGAAGAAGGUUUUCGGAUCGUAAAGCUCUGUUGUUAGAGAAGAACGUUGGUAGGAGUGGAAAAUCUACCAAGUGACGGUAACUAACCAGAAAGGGACGGCUAACUACGUGCCAGCAGCCGCGGUAAUACGUAGGUCCCGAGCCUUGUCCGGAUUUAUUGGGCGUAAAGCGAGCGCAGGUGGUUAUUUAAGUCUGAAGUUAAAGGCGGUGGCUUAACCGUGGUACGCUUUGGAAACUGGAGGACUUGAGUGCAGAAGGGGAGAGUGGAAUUCCAUGUGUAGCGGUGAAAUGCGUAGAUAUAUGGAAGAACACCGGUGGCGAAAGCGGCUCUCUGGUCUGUAACUGACGCUGAGGCACGAAAGCGUGGGGAGCAAACAGG